GCGGCAGGCCUAACACAUGCAAGUCGAGGGGUAACAUUGGUGCUUGCACCAGAUGACGACCGGCGCACGGGUGCGUAACGCGUAUACAAUCUACCUUUUGCUAAGGGGUAGCCCAGAGAAAUUUGGAUUAAUACCUUAUAGUAUGUAGACUUCUCAUGAAGAUUACAUUAAAGAUUACGGCAAAAGAUGAGUAUGCGUCCUAUUAGUUUGUUGGUGUGGUAACGGCACACCAAGACUACGAUAGGUAGGGGCCCUGAGAGGGGGAUCCCCCACACUGGUACUGAGACACGGACCAGACUCCUACGGGAGGCGGCAGUGAGGAAUAUUGGACAAUGGAGGCAACUCUGAUCCAGCCAUGCCGCGUGCAGGAAGACUGCCCUAUGGGUUGUAAACUGCUUUUAUACAGGAAGAAACACUCCCUCGUGAGGGAGCUUGACGGUACUGUAAGAAUAAGGAUCGGCUAACUCCGUGCCAGCAGCCGCGGUAAUACGGAGGAUCCAAGCGUUAUCCGGAAUCAUUGGGUUUAAAGGGUCCGUAGGUGGAUAAUUAAGUCAGAGGUGAAAGUUUGCAGCUCAACUGUAAAAUUGCCUUUGAUACUGGUUAUCUUGAGUUAUUGUGAAGUAGUUAGAAUAUGUAGUGUAGCGGUGAAAUGCAUAGAUAUUACAUAGAAUACCAAUUGCGAAGGCAGAUUACUAACAAUAUACUGACACUGAUGGACGAAAGCGUGGGUAGCGAACAGGAUUAGAUACCCUGGUAGUCCACGCCGUAAACGAUGGAUACUAGCUGUUGGGCUUCGGCUCAGUGGCUAAGCGAAAGUGAUAAGUAUCCCACCUGGGGAGUACGUUCGCAAGAAUGAAACUCAAAGGAAUUGACGGGGGCCCGCA
Molecule: ribosomal RNA, 884 nt
Filed under: uncultured Bacteroidota bacterium
Lineage: Bacteria; Pseudomonadati; Bacteroidota
Description: bacterial SSU rRNA
Rfam family: Bacterial small subunit ribosomal RNA
Source: RNAcentral